This 164-nucleotide small nuclear RNA is filed under the name Mustela putorius furo (domestic ferret). Its description in RNAcentral is "U2 spliceosomal RNA". It matches the Rfam family "U2 spliceosomal RNA". Rfam says of the family: U2 is a small nuclear RNA (snRNA) component of the spliceosome (involved in pre-mRNA splicing). Complementary binding between U2 snRNA (in an area lying towards the 5' end but 3' to hairpin I) and the branchpoint sequence (BPS) of the intron results the bulging out of an unpaired adenosine, on the BPS, which initiates a nucleophilic attack at the intronic 5' splice site, thus starting the first of two transesterification reactions that mediate splicing. The record is from Rfam by way of RNAcentral. Lineage: Eukaryota; Metazoa; Chordata; Mammalia; Carnivora; Mustelidae.
AUUGCUUCUCGGCCUUUUGGCUAAGAUCAAGUGUAGAAUUCACCAUACUGUACUAUAGUUAUUGGAAGGGACCAUUCUUCUAACAUACUGUGAGAACUUUCAGAGCAAGAACCAGAUUAUAUUCAUCUCCAUAUUCCAAUGGCCUGGAUACAUGAAUGUGGUUU